AUUGAACGCUGGCAGCAGGCUUAACACAUGCAAGUCGAGCGGAGUGAUGGUGCUUGCACUAUCACUUAGCGGCGGACGGGUGAGUAAUGCUUAGGAAUCUGCCUAUUAGUGGGGGACAACAUCUCGAAAGGGAUGCUAAUACCGCAUACGUCCUACGGGGGAAAGCAGGGGAUCACUUGUGACCUUGCGCUAAUAGAUGAGCCUAAGUCGGAUUAGCUAGUUGGUGGGGUAAAGGCCUACCAAGGCGACGAUCCGUAGCGGGUCUGCGAGGAUGGUCCGCCACUCUGGGACUGAGACACGGCCCAGGCUCCGACGGGAGGCAGCAGUGGGGAAUAUUGGACAAUGGGGGGAACCCUGAUCCAGCCAUGCCGCGUGUGUGAAGAAGGCCUUAUGGUUGUAAAGCACUUUAAGCGAGGAGGAGGCUCUUUUGGUUAAUACCCAAGAUGAGUGGACGUUACUCGCAGAAUAAGCACCGGCUAACUCUGUGCCAGCCGCCGCGGUAA
This 503-nucleotide ribosomal RNA is filed under the name uncultured bacterium. Its description in RNAcentral is "partial 16S ribosomal RNA". It matches the Rfam family "Bacterial small subunit ribosomal RNA", at positions 30 to 523 of the family's 1533-position model. The record is from RNAcentral.